Molecule: long non-coding RNA, 240 nt
Filed under: Olea europaea (common olive)
Lineage: Eukaryota; Viridiplantae; Streptophyta; Magnoliopsida; Lamiales; Oleaceae
Description: long non-coding RNA (OEUR_LNC000427)
Source: RNAcentral
ACUAUUCACUUUUCUUUCAUUGAGAUAUUUGACACCAACGUUUUAGAAGACCAAAUUUGUAUUUCCUAUGGGUAGUAAGAUUCCAAGAAACCACCAUUAACGAAAGCAUUUUAGCUUAUGUUAAACCUCAUCAAAACAAGUCAACAAUAAUCCAAGAAAUGAAUAAAGGGCAAUAUAACAUAAUUAUGUGGAGAAAAGGUUGGGUUUCUGCUCUUCCAAAUGCACAUUACACCUACGCAA